CAAUCAUGAAAAAGAACAGAUUGAAUUCCCCUUUUAAUGUAAAUGUGUAACCUUAGUUUUUACCUCUCCUACAAUUUGUUUUCGAGUUUUAGGAAGACGGAAUUCGAACCUGAGACCGCAAACUCUAGUAAUGCUUAUAUGCAGGGGCGGAUCUAGUACGGGGUAACACUUGUCCCUCAUAAAAAAAUUUGAUAGUUUUUCACCAUUUUAAAUCUUACAAAAUUAUAAAAAUGCCCCCACAAAAUUUAAAAUAUACACGUGUUUUCUGAAAAUUUGCUUGAUGCCCCCAAGAUUUGAAUUAUAGAUCCGUCCUUGCUCAUAUGAUAACAUGUAAACUGUACAUGUAGAUCAAAUAAACUAAAUGAAAUUACAGUUUUAGAGUAUUGUAGGCGUUAUAAUUCAGAAAUUAUUUACUUGUAAGGUUCUCAGAUGAUGAAUUACUGGCAAUAUGCAGCUGCAACUUAUUAUCCUGAUCUGUUUGCUGAGUUUUUCGCCUUCUCCGGUUAUGAUCAGCUAAUCUUUUCCGGCAGCUUCUCUUGCCAUUGUCAAAUUCGGUGAGGAGAUGAAAUCUGUUGUAUUUUCCAUAUGUCAAUUUUCAGGAUGGGAAAACAUCAAAAAAAUUAGUAGUACAAUUAUAUAUGCUCCAAUAGUAUAAAUUACUCUAUGUGAUGAUUGGUAUUACUAUAAGCAGCAAAAACAUAAUGUAGCAUAUUACGUUGACACAAAUUCAGGAAUUUAGUCCUGGGGAUCAUCCCUCGUAUAUUUGACAUGGAAACAUAAAUCGGAAUAAAAAUUACUUUUACUAAAACUUGGUAAAAAAUAAACACAAAUAUAUACAUUAUAUGAGUAUAUUUAAAAUUAAGUGCAUUGAGCUAAAUGCAUGGGAGGGUUGUUUUAGGUUUUUGGUGACAAACCGGCUACAUUGUUGGCAGAAGCGCUGAGUCAUUCCCGCGGCGAUGACGGUGGCUGCCUUGGAGUGAAACUCACAGACCUUAUGCCUCCGGUGGUAGUGCUUUGCAUGAGUAAGAUUGGCAUUGCAUCCUGCUGCUUGACACCGCGGCACAUUCAGUGAACCGGGUUCGACCAUGCUGGACCGCUGGUACAGCCGGUUCACAAAGUCAUCCUCGGACGAAGAAAAAUAAGUCCGCCCCCCUAAAUUAAGCCCAAUCCUACUAGUCCCAUACUCAAAACCGGCCGGUUCGCUCUUCGGCACAACCAUGAACCGGGUCGGGUCAUGAACCGGGUCGAGCGACAUCAUUCUCGGAUCCGGGUCCGGGUAUGACCCGUAAGAGUUCGGGUCAUAAAGGGACUGUAAAUGAGUGUUAUGGGUUGGUGGGUAGUGAAAAUAUGGGUGGUGAGUUUGGUUUUCAUAGGUAUUUUGAUGAUUAUGAUGAUUAGGGUUCAAGAGAUUUUGGUCGAAAGUUUGUGUGUAAUGAUUGUAAAGUUGUGGGUUAUGACCCGAAUCUUGGUCGGGUGGGUCAUCUCCAUUCACCAUCAAACUUGAAGGGUUGCCCCAUUCAUAGUCCAACAUUUUGGUUCUGAUAAAAGUUUACAGACAGUAAGAAAAAGCGGGAAUCAGACUUAAUCGAUACCUGCAGUUAUCUGGUUACAGAAACAAAGAGAUGAGGGAAAUAGUAUGGUACUAGUGGUGUAUUUCCAUUCCUAAGUGCUGCAACUUCUGAAAUCAAGUAAAGAAGACUUAAAUCAAGAAAGUGACAUAGACAUAAGUAACUACACAGUAGCUCAACUGAAAAGCUGUGUGAGAUAGGAAAGGUGUACAGUGUCUAGUUAAGUGUAUAGUUGAGAGGGAGAUAGAUAGGUUCUGUACAUUAUGCAACUUACCAAAUCACUGGAGAAUAGGUGAUGAUCAGCUUGCAGCAGCUACUUUACAGAUCUACCAAGUGGUUUUUUGAAUAGGUAGCUAUGAGGUAGCCUAGCUUUCCUUCAUUUUCUUUCUUUCACUCUCUGUGUCUGCUCUCUAUUUAUAGCAUGGCAUCACUUGCAACAUAAUGGGGCCGUUUGGCUGAGCUUAAAAUAAGUGCUUCUUGCUUAAAAUAAAUAAGUGGAGUAGAAGUUAAAAGCCAGACAAGACUUAUAAGUGAUUAAAGUGUUUGGCAAAUAAGCAGAAGUCCUGAAACAAAAGCUAGCAUUCCUAACUUUUUAUAAGUGAUAAAUAUCAAUGGACAGGACAAAGAAAAUAAUUUAAAUGCUAAAGAUGGAAAUAUAAUAGACCUUACAUGCAUGAACCUUCCUACUUGAUACAAAUCCCAUAACACUAACACACAAAAAUCCAGACUUACUUAUUAGCCAAAGAAAAAUUGAUUUUUCUUUGAAAUUAGAUGAUAAAACAGCUAUUUGUUAACACUUGUUCCUUAAUUCAGAAAUGCGAUAAACUAAUUACUUGCUAAUAGAGAUAGUAAUCCCUUAAAUAAUCCGGAACGCGUUAAUGAAUUGGUUUCUCCUCGCGAAGAAGUAUCAAAAUCACAGAUCUGAUGUCUAAAACAGAGAGUUUGUUGAAGAACUAGAGGCUUGAUAGUCAGAUCUUUGCUGAAAUUUGUCAAAUGAAAUCCUUGGCGGCGAAAUUGCAAUUGUCACUGAUGAAGAUGAAUGCACACCUGAAUCUGGUGGAGAUCCUGCAAUCAUGAAAAAGAACAGAUUGAAUUCCCCUUUUAAUGUAAAUGUGUAACCUUAGUUUUUACCUCUCCUACAAUUUGUUUUCGAGUUUUAGGAAGACGGAAUUCGAACCUGAGACCGCAAACUCUAGUAAUGCUUAUAUGCAGGGGCGGAUCUAGUACGGGGUAACACUUGUCCCUCAUAAAAAAAUUUGAUAGUUUUUCACCAUUUUAAAUCUUACAAAAUUAUAAAAAUGCCCCCACAAAAUUUAAAAUAUACACGUGUUUUCUGAAAAUUUGCUUGAUGCCCCCAAGAUUUGAAUUAUAGAUCCGUCCUUGCUCAUAUGAUAACAUGUAAACUGUACAUGUAGAUCAAAUAAACUAAAUGAAAUUACAGUUUUAGAGUAUUGUAGGCGUUAUAAUUCAGAAAUUAUUUACUUGUAAGGUUCUCAGAUGAUGAAUUACUGGCAAUAUGCAGCUGCAACUUAUUAUCCUGAUCUGUUUGCUGAGUUUUUCGCCUUCUCCGGUUAUGAUCAGCUAAUCUUUUCCGGCAGCUUCUCUUGCCAUUGUCAAAUUCGGUGAGGAGAUGAAAUCUGUUGUAUUUUCCAUAUGUCAAUUUUCAGGAUGGGAAAACAUCAAAAAAAUUAGUAGUACAAUUAUAUAUGCUCCAAUAGUAUAAAUUACUCUAUGUGAUGAUUGGUAUUACUAUAAGCAGCAAAAACAUAAUGUAGCAUAUUACGUUGACACAAAUUCAGGAAUUUAGUCCUGGGGAUCAUCCCUCGUAUAUUUGACAUGGAAACAUAAAUCGGAAUAAAAAUUACUUUUACUAAAACUUGGUAAAAAAUAAACACAAAUAUAUACAUUAUAUGAGUAUAUUUAAAAUUAAGUGCAUUGAGCUAAAUGCAUGGGAGGGUUGUUUUAGGUUUUUGGUGACAAACCGGCUACAUUGUUGGCAGAAGCGCUGAGUCAUUCCCGCGGCGAUGACGGUGGCUGCCUUGGAGUG
RNAcentral lists this long non-coding RNA (3615 nucleotides) under Daucus carota (carrot). RNAcentral's name for it is "long non-coding RNA (DCAR_LNC002716)". Lineage: Eukaryota; Viridiplantae; Streptophyta; Magnoliopsida; Apiales; Apiaceae. The record is from RNAcentral.